RNAcentral lists this transfer RNA (67 nucleotides) under human gut metagenome. It matches the Rfam family "tRNA". Rfam says of the family: Transfer RNA (tRNA) molecules are approximately 80 nucleotides in length. Their secondary structure includes four short double-helical elements and three loops (D, anti-codon, and T loops). The record is from RNAcentral. RNAcentral also lists the same sequence under 2 other names.
CGGGUGUAGUUCAAUGGUAGAACAUCAGCCUUCCAAGCUGAUUGUGAGGGUUCGAUUCCCUUCACCC